UCAGCUUGUUGGGGGGGUAAUGGCCCACCAAGGCGACGACGGGUAGCUGGUCUGAGAGGAUGGCCAGCCACAUUGGGACUGAGAGACGGCCCAGACUCCUACGGGAGGCAGCAGUGGGGAAUCUUGCGCAAUGGCCGAAAGGCUGACGCAGCGACGCCGCGUGGGGGAGGAAGGCCUUCGGGUUGUAAACCCCUGUUGCCCGGGACGAAUGUGCUCUUUAGAGGGCAUUGACGGUACCGGGUGAGGAAGCACCGGCUAACUCCGUGCCAGCAGCCGCGGUAAUACGGAGGGUGUGAGCGUUGUCCGGAAUCACUGGGCGUAAAGGGCGCGUAGGCGGCUCAUGAAGGCUGUGGUGAAAGUCCGAGGCUCAACCUCGGAUCGGCCGUGGCGACUCGUGGGCUGGAGCACUGUAGAGGCGGGUGGAAUUCCGGGUGUAGCGGUGGAAUGCGUAGAGAUCCGGAAGAACACCAGUGGCGAAGGCGGCCCGCUGGGCAGUGGCUGACGCUGAAGCGCGACAGCGUGGGGAGCAAACAGGAUUAGAUACCCUGGUAGUCCACGCCGUAAACGAUGGGCACUAGGUGCUUGGGGGAGCGACCCUCUGAGUGCCGGCGCUAACGCAUUAAGUGCCCCGCCUGGGGAGUACGG
This 645-nucleotide ribosomal RNA is filed under the name uncultured bacterium. RNAcentral describes it as "bacterial SSU rRNA". It matches the Rfam family "Bacterial small subunit ribosomal RNA", at positions 241 to 885 of the family's 1533-position model. The record is from RNAcentral.